Molecule: transfer RNA, 71 nt
Filed under: Lachnospiraceae bacterium
Lineage: Bacteria; Bacillati; Bacillota; Clostridia; Lachnospirales; Lachnospiraceae
Description: tRNA-Gln
Rfam family: tRNA
About the family: Transfer RNA (tRNA) molecules are approximately 80 nucleotides in length. Their secondary structure includes four short double-helical elements and three loops (D, anti-codon, and T loops).
Source: RNAcentral
UGAAAUAUAGUGUAAUGGUAGCACAAAGGAUUUUGGUUCCUUUAGUUCAGGUUCGAAUCCUGAUAUUUCAA